This 1128-nucleotide ribosomal RNA is filed under the name Triticum aestivum (bread wheat). RNAcentral's name for it is "partial small subunit ribosomal RNA". Lineage: Eukaryota; Viridiplantae; Streptophyta; Magnoliopsida; Poales; Poaceae. The record is from RNAcentral.
AUGGAAGGUUCGCAGAGUUCAAUAGCGAGGGUGCCGGCGAGGUGCACAGCAGAGACACAGACGUCGCGGGCCACGGUUGCGUUCGAGAUCGCUGGCUACAGCCUGCACAAGGGCCUCGGUAGAGGCAAAUACCUCCGUUCUCCGGCAUUCUCCAUCGGCGGCUACGAAUGGUGCAUCCGCUACUACCCCGACGGAAGCCCAGACGAGGCGAGCGAAGGUUACGUCUCUGUCUUCCUCAAGCUCUUGACCAAGAACGCCGAGGUGAGGGCGACCUACAAUUUGAUGCUCGUGGAGCCGGUUAAGGGGCAGUCGACUGUGGUGCUCUCCUCCGAAGAGCCACAAGUGUUCGACCGCGAAAGGCCAUCCUGGGGCUUGCGGAGGUUCAUGAAGACCACUGCUGAAGGGAAGAAAGGAGCAGACGUGACAUUCAAGGUCCAAGGGGAGGUAUUUUCUGCUCAUAAGAUUUUGCUUGCGAUGCGAUCGCCGGUCGUCGAAGCAGAGUUCUAUGGGCCGCUGGGGAACAAGGGGGCGCAGAACGGGCAUGAUUGGCUGGCAGACAAAAAUUGGCAAGCCAACAUUUGGCAUUUCCAACAAGUGACAGCUCUAAAACUUGCCAAAAUUUUGCUAGUUUUAAGAGGUUGGCUAGGUGCCAACCAAUUGCUAGACAAAAUUUUGGUUUGCUUACCUAUUGGCAAGCCAAAUUUUGGCAGCAAACCAAGCAGCCCUGACAUAACAAUUGAUGACAUGCAGCCUGCUGUUUUCAGGGCAUUUCUUCACUUCAUCUACACAGAUUCAAUGCCUCCCAUGAGAGAUCUUGAGGAGGAUGACAAAAUAGAAAUGGUUAAGCACUUACUCGUGGCUGCAGAUAAGUAUGGGAUGGAAAGGAUGAAGAGGAUAUGUGAAGGCAUGCUAUGCAAGAGUCUUGAUGUUCAGACUGUGGCUGCCAUAUUAGCUCUAGCUGACCAGCAUCAUUGCAGCAACCUCAAAGAUGCUUGCAUCGAAUUUAUGCUCUCUUCGAAUAGAAUGAAUGAUGUGAUGGCAAGCCAAGGGUAUGCACACCUCAAAAGAUAUUCUCCUGAUGUCAUUGUAGAUGUGUUUGAGAGAGCAGCUAGGUCCUGCAAAAUUUAG